RNAcentral lists this long non-coding RNA (438 nucleotides) under Chlamydomonas reinhardtii. RNAcentral's name for it is "long non-coding RNA (CREI_LNC001143)". The record is from RNAcentral. Lineage: Eukaryota; Viridiplantae; Chlorophyta; Chlorophyceae; Chlamydomonadales; Chlamydomonadaceae.
ACGCACUGCCGCGGCUGACGGCGGAGCAGUGGGCCGAGCUGGUGUCGUAUCUGGACUCGCCGCAACGCCGGCCGCCGCAGCUGCAGCCGCACCAGCUGGCAUGGGCUCGUGCGGUGCAAGCGCCUGAUACCGUGGUGCACGUGUAAAAGCGAAGGUGAAACUGUGAGCUUAUUUUGAAACUAGUGGCGUGCGCAUGACAGGAUAAGCAGACGCUGCUGGCAAACGCAGCAGAGUUUAGGAGGGAGGCAUCUACCUUGGUUGGCACAACCACAUGGGUUGGCACGCUGGUUGGCACAUCCACAUGGGCAUGAGUUGGUUUCCGACUACUCACUGCGCUCGAGCCGAAAUCAUUAGUUGGCAGGAGUUGCAGUUGUGUGAUGGCUGGCAGGGGCACCCCUGAGUGCUGGAGCCGUGUGAUGCAGGCCUGUUGAGCUGCGG